Long non-coding RNA from Herpailurus yagouaroundi (jaguarundi), 1485 nucleotides. RefSeq lists it as uncharacterized. Lineage: Eukaryota; Metazoa; Chordata; Mammalia; Carnivora; Felidae. The record is from RefSeq and is a predicted model, not a curated record. The transcript has 2 exons.
CAAGUUAACUUGGGGUCAUUUCACAAGGGGUCCUAAACGCCAAAAGGAUGACUUUAACUCAGUGGGGGAGCCGCAGACCUUUACACAAUUAGAAAAAUGUCAGUGUCCUUAGAAGGCAAUGGAAGGCACACGCUCUCCUGCUUGCGCCCUCUGUCUGCAGACUGGAGCCAUGUCACGGGAGGAUAGACCCUUCUUUCAGGGCAGAAGGAAGCCCAGAAGCCUUGUAACCCCACCCACUUCAUACUAGAAGGGAAAUGUGGCCCACUCGGAACGCCCCUUUUCAGAUUCACUCUGUUGGCUUUUCUUCAUCUAAACAUUGACCUGCCCGAGGGCAUGGUGCGGGACCUUCUUCGGUCUGCAAUUUAUUCACUUCCAAAACCAUCUUUAUUAGUUCUUUGGCUUUAAAUACGUCUGUAUUUUGACGGCACACCUGUGCAUGUCUCUGGCCUUGGCUUCCUCUCGGAACUCGACAUAUCCCCGCCUGUCCACUCAGCAGCCCCACCUGGAUGUCUAAUGGGCAUCUCAAAUGAUGCCAUUUACAAUAUAUGCCAAACACAACUCCUGCCUUCUCCCCAAAACCUGUUCACGCCAGUCUUUCUCAGAUCAUCCGCCCAGUGGCUCCUGCCCAACCUAGGCACCGGCCUCAGUUCCUACCUUUUCCUUACGCCAUACGACCAGUUCAGUAGGUGGAUCUUACCUGUUCCACUUCCACAUCCCAUUUCUGUGACUGUGAUCCCAGACCAAGCCCAUUACAGGCAUGCCUAAUUUUAUUGCGCUUUGCUUUCUUGUGUUUCACAGAUACUGCAGUUUUUACAAGUUGAAGGUUUUGGGCAACCCUGUGCCGAGGAAGCCUAUUGGCACCAUUUUCCGACAGCGUCUGCUCACUUUGUGUCUCUGUCGCAUUUGGGAAACUUUUUUUUACUGAAAUCCACACUGAAUCCAAGUAUAUUCCUUGAUGAAGUUUCACCAAGUAAAUACACCCGCCGACGAGGACUCAGAUCGCAACACGGAAUAUUUCCUGCGCCCAGAAACCACUUCCAGUCACGACGCCCCACGGUUGGCACUAGGGCCACGGAUUCAUUUGGUGGGGGUUUGAACCUCAUAUAAAUGGAAUCACGCAGUGCGCGCUCUUCCGACCUGGACUUCUUUGCUCAGCACCAUGUAGGUGAGACUCAUGUGAACUGUUAGCAGGCGGACCUGACCUUGUCUUCUCUCUGUGUGAUAAUCCCUGGUGUGGAUGCAGGUUCCUUACGAACAUGUUCUGGCAUCUGUGAACAGCUGAGUCGUAUCCAGUCUGAGGCUCUAACAAAUACUACUGGUAGGAACAUCCCAAAGUGUGUCUUUUGGCGAACACUGGCACCCAUCCCCACUGGCACGUGCCCAGGGAUUGGAAUCCUGGGCCUGGGGGUGUUUACAUUCAGUUCAGUUCAUACUUUCCUUAGUUGAUUUUUUUAUUGUGGUAAAAUAUACCUAACAGCAAAUGUA